Hordeum vulgare subsp. vulgare (domesticated barley) is the source of this 138-nucleotide non-coding RNA. Lineage: Eukaryota; Viridiplantae; Streptophyta; Magnoliopsida; Poales; Poaceae. The record is from Rfam.
AUCAUACUCAUCCGUUCUAAAAUUCUUGUCUUAGCUUUGUCUUGAAAUAGAUGUAUCUAAAUACUAAAACUUCACUAGAUACAUUCAUAUCAUCUAAAUAAAUCUAAGACAAGAAUUUUGGGACGGAGGAAGUAGUUU